RNAcentral lists this non-coding RNA (651 nucleotides) under Pan troglodytes (chimpanzee). Lineage: Eukaryota; Metazoa; Chordata; Mammalia; Primates; Hominidae. The record is from RNAcentral.
AUUCUCGCCCGUCCACUCCCAGCGUAAAGAGGAUUCCGCGACUCGGAGACCGCAAUCUACCCGCCAGUCUCCAUAACGUAGGCCAGAGCAGCUGGGCUAAAUAAAACAGAGCCGGGGCUCUCCCUUCCCAAAGGCCUACAUCGCCCACUGGUCCGGGCUCGGAGCUCAGCAGAACCAGAGUAGGAGCGGUUGUUGCCGGCACGGAGGAGGGAGAGCGCUUGUGACGCUACGAACCUCUCGAACACCUGACGACUGGGCGCCAGGGCCGGAUGGAGGGUGGAGAGCCAGUGCGGCGCAGCGGCCUCCUCUUAACGGGGACACCUUGCAGGAAUGUGCGGAGUGGAGCUAACGGGAGCGGAUAGAAACCGAGGGAGGGGAAGAGAGCGCGAAGGCUUGGCCGGAAGGAGAGGUUAAAAAGGAAAGGCCUAAAAUGAGGAAGAGAGUUACCACAACAAGCAGUACCUAGUUCCAGUUCUUGGUCCCAGGAGUUUGUGGUUGUUGCUGCUUUCAUCUUCCUCAGCCAACACAAAAGGAAAGUGCCAAGGGGCGAUUCCUAGGACCUUCAGUGCAGUCUCCACCUUGCGGACUUGGCUCGUUUGUGUCCACUCCUUUCUCCAGCCUUUUACACUUGAUGCUCUUGGAUGAAUAGAA